This 496-nucleotide ribosomal RNA is filed under the name uncultured bacterium. RNAcentral's name for it is "partial 16S ribosomal RNA". It matches the Rfam family "Bacterial small subunit ribosomal RNA", at positions 28 to 506 of the family's 1533-position model. The record is from RNAcentral.
GAUGAACGCUGGCGGCGUGCCUAAUACAUGCAAGUCGAGCGAACGGACGAGAAGCUUGCUUCUCUGAUGUUAGCGGCGGACGGGUGAGUAACACGUGGAUAACCUACCUAUAAGACUGGGAUAACUUCGGGAAACCGUAGCUAAUACCUGAUAAUAUUUUGAACCGCAUGGUUCAAAAGUGAAAGACGGUCUUGCUGUCACUUAUAGAUGGAUCCGCGCUGCAUUAGCUAGUUGGUAAGGUAACGGCUUACCAAGGCAACGAUGCAUAGCCGACCUGAGAGGGUGAUCGGCCACACUGGAACUGAGACACGGUCCAGACUCCUACGGGAGGCAGCAGUAGGGAAUCUUCCGCAAUGGGCGAAAGCCUGACGGAGCAACGCCGCGUGAGUGAUGAAGGUCUUCGGAUCGUAAAACUCUGUUAUUAGGGAAGAACAUAUGUGUAAGUAACUGUGCACAUCUUGACGGUACCUAAUCAGAAAGCCACGGCUAACUACGU